Long non-coding RNA from Orcinus orca (killer whale), 3882 nucleotides. RefSeq lists it as uncharacterized. Lineage: Eukaryota; Metazoa; Chordata; Mammalia; Artiodactyla; Delphinidae. The record is from RefSeq and is a predicted model, not a curated record. The transcript is spliced from 3 exons.
GUUUCACAGACGUAAAGACCUCUCUAUUUAAGUGAUUGGUUAUUUUCUUUAAACUAGCUCUUUGUUCAGCUAUAGUGGUAACUGCCUUCAUUCUAAAAUGGCAUCUUUUUUUCCUUGCCAAGAAAGGAGUCAUUUCACUUUGCUUCUCUUCCCUUUUGGUUCUUUCCAUUUAUGUUUUGCAGGCACAUGGACACACCCUUUAAGCCAGGAUUUCAAUGAAAAAACCUAGCCAAUCCAGUUUUAACAUUGUCAUUGGUGGUGUUAACAUGGAGACAGUCGCCUUCUUGUUGCUCAAUAGGGUGAGACUUUGCAAAAGGCUUGGGCAUGUACAACGUGUCUAGCUUCAGCCACCUCCUUCUCCUCCAUUGCCAAAGAAGCAGAAGCCAAGGAACCAUCUCCUUAUUGUUCUCUUGCAUAAAUGGGCCGACUGCCCAUUGGGGGAGGGUGGCACCUAGACAUUUACGUGACCUGCUGUGGAAGGGUGGGGUUACUGUCUCAAAGUCCCUGCUCUUAAAAACUAGGGAAAGAAGGCCCUUCUAAGUAAAAGAAGAAGAAAAAUAAUUGACCUGUAAGCCUGCAGGCUGCUACUAAUGGGAAAGAAUGCUAGAGCACUUCACUGCUAGCAAGGACAGCUGAAGAAAAUGCAGUCCAGGCCCAUAAGAAACAUGAAGAUUGCCAGCCCCUCACCUUGCUGUUCAGCAUCAGAAGACCACCUUGGUUUUUUUUUUUGUUUUCUUUUUUGUUUUUUUUUCACCAGACACACACAAUUGAGCUCUUUUGAAUCUGGCAUCACAGAUGUUGAGACAUAUUUUUGCAGAGCAGUUUAUGAUGACAUUGAUGAGCUAUAUUGCCUCACAGUGAUCUCUCAAGGUGAGCGAAGGCAAUCCAACAGAUGUGGAAAUUAAAGUGUUGGGAGCCCCGGCACAAGCCCCAACAGGUAGAAGCCCAAGAAAGGGAGUGACAAACCAACAAACUGUUCAAACCAACAAAUGUAACUCCUGACUGGGGUGUAUUUGUUUUUGAGUGAGAAAGGAAAAGUAUAUUUAGGGAGACAAGUUGGAUAAAAAUAAGCAUUGAGGGAAAGAUAUAGGAGGCAAAUCUAAAUCAAACCUAUCUUUAAUAUGCAGCCAACUCAAAGCAUGAAAAAGCGUAUUCUAGAAAUAUUACAAAUAUUCCUAUAUAUUUUCUUUUCCUAUAAAUAGUUUCCUAUUCCACUAAUGAGGAAGCUGCUUCCAUCCAAACUGAGAGGAAAAGAUAAUUUCAAAGAUAUUAGACAUGCAGGCUAAAUUCAGUCCCAGCCAAAGAAACAGCAGAAGUUCAAAUUCAGACUGAUAUGUACCUAAUGGCUGCAGGGAUGACCCAUAUAUUGCCCAGAUGAGGAAACUGAAACUUGGAUACCUACCCAUUAUGGACUCAGGAACACUUAGGAAAGGCCACACGAGAACUCAGUCAGAAGGCAGGCACCUGCAAGGCAAGAAGAGAGGCUUCACCAGAAACCAACCCUGACAGCACAUUGAUUUUGGACUUCUAACCUUCCAGAACUGUGAGAAAAUAAAUUUCUGUUAUGUCACCUAGUCAGUGGUAUUCUGUAUGGCAGCCCAAGCAAACUAAGACAGGCACUCUUUCUUGCUUAGUGAUUUCCAAGUAUUUCAUAUGCAUUGUCUCUUUUAAUCUUCAUAAUAAACCCUGUGAGUUAGGCACUAUUAUUAUCCUCAUUCUAAACAUGAGGAAACUGAGACAUAGAAGGGUUAUGUAACUUGCCCAGAGUCACACACUGUGUCAGACCUCUCUGACUCCAGAUUGUAUUAGAAUAAGUAAAUGAAAAUAAAUAUCUUUAAGAUAUAUCAAGGCUUAAAAUUUUAAAUAUUAUGGCUCACAUGUGUCAUUUAUUCCUUCCAUUGAUAUUCUUGGAUUUCUGUCAGUUGUGCUAAAUUGAACUUAACUUGCGUUAAUAAUCCCAACCUAAAUUAACCAACGUAAUGAGCUCAUAAUGCUCACAUUUAAUCAAUACCCACUAGGGAACAGUUAUAUUAUCAUUUUUCUCACACUGUUUUGCCUUUAGGGGUGGUAUAAUCUGUUAUUGAGUAUAAAGUAGUAGGUGGAUUUAAAUCUUUUUAUUAAGCAAUGCUGUCAAGUACUACAGUUAUAGCUGCAAAUCUUGACUCAUCUGGUGGGAAAUGUGCUCUGGAUUCUAAGUCUGUUCUUCUUUAGUGCGUAUAAUUUAAUGGGAGGAACAAGACGAUCACAAAAAAUGUCUUGAAAUAUCUAUUUUUAUUUAGUGUACCAUUUAUUUUCCAAGAAUACGAAUGAGUUAUAUAGUUUUCAUACAUGGAGAACCCAUGGAAAAUAGGAACUUUGAGAAUGUAAUCUAUUGGCAGGACACCAGAAUGGUGAUAUACCCAGACUUGGAGCUAUGCAAAUAUUGGCUCCAUUUAUAGUAUUACUACUUACAACUAGUGUAGCCCAGACAAGUUACUUAACCCCUCUCUACCUCAGUUUCAUCAUGUAUAAAGUGCAACUAAUAUAUCAACUUCCAAAGGUGAAUAUAAAAAUUAAAUGAAAUGAUGUUUAUAGAGAGCUCAGCAUUCUGCCUAGCAAAUAUUAAUACUACAUGUUCAAUAAAUGCUAGCCGUAGUCAUUGACAUCUGAAUCAGGUGGGGUUUUCUCCCACAAUUUAUUUAUGUAGUCAUUCAGCAUCCUGGAAAAACUCCUGUUUGGCUCAUGGGUAUAAUCAAAACAGAUCCUGUGGGUACAUUCAAGGUACUUUCAAGCCAUCAGAAGAUAUAAUAUGAGAAGUGGGGGGGGGGGCAGGGGGAAACAGAGCUAGAAGUAGGAAAAAAAACAUUUUUCAAGAUGAAGAACUGUUAUUUUCUAGCUCCCAAGAGACUUUCCAACAAUAAACAGCAAAAAGUAGGAGAUGAUUACACUUUACACAAGAGACAGCUAUUUAUAAAGGAGUUUUAAAUGAUACACAACAAACACUAUUGGGUCCACCAACACAAUAGACAGGGGUGCAAGCUGGUCUGUAGUUAAUGCAGAUGCCUUAGGAAAUACCACAGAAAGUCACUAGAAUGAGCUUGAACCCCAGUUACAUAGACCCAGGCGUUAGACUAGCACCAGCUAAAGGCCUGGGAAGCCCCAGGCUUAACUAACAGAAAUUGGUCAAGUAGCAAACACAUGUAAGCCGUGACCCUCAGCGUGGCUGCUGUUGUCCAAAAGACCCCAGGUUGCCCUGACAUCAAAUCAUCACCCCGGUGACCCCAGUGGGAGAGGACAGACUGGUGAAAGGCUUCGAAGGAUAAGGUUAGAAAAGCCUAGCUUUGACUUAGGUUAUGUGGCAAUGACAGUUAACUAAUCCCCAAAAUCUGUUUCCCCUUCAUGGUCUGGAGUUGUGGCAACAUAGGUUGUGCAGCCAGGAAGAUAAUUUCUUAGCCAGAAAGAUAAUUGCAUCUUGGCAAUGCGAUGUAGCUGAGUUCUAGCUAAUGGGGGGUGGGGGGGUUGGGUAUGAGUAGAAGUGAUGUGUGCUACUUCUAGGCCCUCUCGUAAAACCUCCCACACUUGCCCUAUUCUCCUCCAGCCACCAGACCAAAAAAACCACUAUGAUGACCUUGGAAACUAAAUGCUAAAGAUUGCAGAAACUCCAGAUAUCAAUACCUGGGUCCCUGAAUGAUGAGGAACACCCCCUCCUCCCCACUCCCCAUUUGCCUUAAACAACUCAGGACAUUUUAUGGGCAAGAAACAAACUUCCAUUGUGUGUGAACCCUUACACAUUUUAGUGCCUGCUUGUUAUAGCAGCUAGCGUUAUCCUAACUAGCACAAGUUAUAAAUAUUUGGCAUGUGAAUAUUGCUAGAUAGAGAGAGCACAGGAAUUUAAACACUUUU